UUUUAUGAGAGUUUGAUCCUGGCUCAGGACGAACGCUGGCGGCGUGCCUAAUACAUGCAAGUCGUACGCUUCUUUUUCCACCGGAGCUUGCUCCACCGGAAAAAGAGGAGUGGCGAACGGGUGAGUAACACGUGGGUAACCUGCCCAUCAGAAGGGGAUAACACUUGGAAACAGGUGCUAAUACCGUAUAACAAUCGAAACCGCAUGGCUUUGAUUUGAAAGGCGCUUUCGGGUGUCGCUGAUGGAUGGACCCGCGGUGCAUUAGCUAGUUGGUGAGGUAA
RNAcentral lists this ribosomal RNA (281 nucleotides) under Enterococcus faecium. RNAcentral's name for it is "partial 16S ribosomal RNA". It matches the Rfam family "Bacterial small subunit ribosomal RNA", at positions 1 to 260 of the family's 1533-position model. The record is from RNAcentral. Lineage: Bacteria; Bacillati; Bacillota; Bacilli; Lactobacillales; Enterococcaceae.